This 253-nucleotide ribosomal RNA is filed under the name uncultured bacterium. Its description in RNAcentral is "partial 16S ribosomal RNA". It matches the Rfam family "Bacterial small subunit ribosomal RNA", at positions 524 to 776 of the family's 1533-position model. The record is from RNAcentral.
UACGGGGGGGGCAAGCGUUGUUCGGAAUUACUGGGCGUAAAGGGUUUGUAGGUGGCCAACUAAGUCGGACGUGAAAUCCCUCAGCUUAACUGGGGAACUGCGUCUGAUACUGGUUGGCUUGAGUGCAGGAGAGGAACGCGGAAUUCCAGGUGUAGCGGUGAAAUGCGUAGAUAUCUGGAGGAACACCGGUGGCGAAGGCGGCGUUCUGGACUGCAACUGACACUGAGAAACGAAAGCCAGGGUAGCAAACGGG